ACUCAAAUGAAUAGACGGGGGCCCGCACAAGCGGUGGAGCAUGGGGUUUAAUUCGUCACUAACCGAAGAACCUUACCCAGACUUGACAUCCUCGGACCGCCGGUGAAAGCCGGUUUUCCCGCAAGGGACCGAGAGACAGGUGUUGCAUGGCUGUCGUCAGCUCGUGUCGUGAGAUGUUGGGUUAAGUCCCGCAACGAGCGCAACCCUCACUGUAUGUUGCCAGCGUGAAAGCGCGCACUCAUGCGGAACUGCCGGGGUAACCCGGAGGAAGGCGGGGAUGACGUCAAGUCGGCAUGGCCCUUACGUCUGGGGCUACACCCAUGCUACAAUGGAUCGGACAGAGGGCUGCAAGACCGCGAGGUGGAGCCAAUCCCAAAAACCGGUCCUCAAUUGGAAUUGGAGUCUGCAACUCGACUCCAUGAACGUGGAAUCGCUAGUAAACGCCGGUCAGCUAAACGGCGUUGAAUCCGUUCCCGGGCCUUGUACACACCGCCCGU
This 497-nucleotide ribosomal RNA is filed under the name uncultured bacterium. RNAcentral's name for it is "partial 16S ribosomal RNA". It matches the Rfam family "Bacterial small subunit ribosomal RNA", at positions 899 to 1397 of the family's 1533-position model. The record is from RNAcentral.